This 468-nucleotide ribosomal RNA is filed under the name uncultured bacterium. RNAcentral describes it as "partial 16S ribosomal RNA". It matches the Rfam family "Bacterial small subunit ribosomal RNA", at positions 28 to 507 of the family's 1533-position model. The record is from RNAcentral.
GACGAACGCUGGCGGCGUGCUUAACACAUGCAAGUCGAACGGAAAGGCCCUGCUUUUGUUGGGUGCUCGAGUGGCGAACGGGUGAGUAACACGUGAGUAACCUGCCCUUGACUGUGGAAUAACGUCAGGAAACUGGGGCUCAUACCGGAUAGGAGCUCCUGCUGCAUGGUGGGGGUUGGAAAGUUUCGGCGGUUGGGGAUGGACUCGCGGCUUGUCAGCUUGUUGGUGGGGUAGUGGCUUACCAAGGCUUUGACGGGUAGCCGGCCGGAGGGGGUGACCGGCCACAUUGGGACUGAGAUACGGCCCAGACUCCUAGGGGAGGAAGAAGUGGGGAAUAUGGCACAAGGGGCGGAAGCCUGAGCAAGCAACGCCGCGUGCGGGAGGACGGCCUUCGGGUGGUAAACCGCUUUCGCAGGUGACGAAGUGGGAGUGACGGUAACGGGUAAAGAAGCACCGGCUAACUACGUG